UUUCCGUAGGUGAACCUGCGGAAGGAUCAUUACUGAGGUAUGCUUUGGUGUUUGCGUCUAGCACGUGACACCGGUUACCCGUCCACAUGUCAUCAGUGCUGGGAUCCCUGCCUGCCUCUUGGGGCUGGCGGGGGGAACAGAAAAGUUCACUUCGGUCGAGGUGUUGCGCCUCCUCUCCGUAACGGGAGGGAGACGUGACCGCGGCCGGCCGCAAUUUAACACUCUUGUGAGAGCAUGAAGUCUGAAAUGAAAAUGAAAAAUUAAGCAAAACUUUCAACAACGGAUCUCUUGGCUCUGGCAUCGAUGAAGAACGCAGC
Molecule: unclassified non-coding RNA, 317 nt
Filed under: uncultured fungus
Lineage: Eukaryota; Fungi
Description: sequence contains ITS1, 5.8S rRNA gene
Rfam family: 5.8S ribosomal RNA (bases 269-317)
Source: RNAcentral